RNAcentral lists this ribosomal RNA (253 nucleotides) under uncultured bacterium. RNAcentral's name for it is "partial 16S ribosomal RNA". It matches the Rfam family "Bacterial small subunit ribosomal RNA", at positions 524 to 776 of the family's 1533-position model. The record is from RNAcentral.
UACGGAGGGGGCAAGCGUUGUUCGGAAUUACUGGGCGUAAAGCGCACGUAGGUGGCGACGUAAGUCGGGUGUGAAAGCCCCGGGCUCAACCUGGGAAUUGCAUUCGAGACUGCAUUGCUGGAGUACGGAAGAGGAGGGCGGAAUUCCCGGUGUAGCGGUGAAAUGCGUAGAUAUCGGGAGGAACAUCAGUGGCGAAGGCGGCCCUCUGGUCCAGUACUGACACUCAAGUGCGAAAGCGUGGGGAGCAAACAGG